RNAcentral lists this long non-coding RNA (2136 nucleotides) under Sorghum bicolor (sorghum). Its description in RNAcentral is "long non-coding RNA (SBIC_LNC009023)". Lineage: Eukaryota; Viridiplantae; Streptophyta; Magnoliopsida; Poales; Poaceae. The record is from RNAcentral.
GGAAGGGAAGUCCGACAACUCAGCAAAACCAGAUGGAUCCACAAACUCGGAAGCAAUCCACUGAGGAUUAGAUUCCUCCGGAGCGUAGUCUACACGUAGAGGUGCAUAUGCAUGAUCAAUGAGAUGUUCAUGACAUGAUAAAGACAGGUUACAAGUUCUUGGAUGAUAACAACAAACAUAACUACCUCGAGUACAACUUACCUUCAUGGUAUAGAAACAAACUAACUUAGUUAUCAAAACAUAGAUUACUACUAAGCAAAUUUUAUCAUCUUCAUUAAGCAAGGUUGUGUAGAUCUCAUGCCAAGUAACCACUAGUUGUCAAUCAAUCCCAAAGACCAAUCAAAACCUAAAAUGAUUAGGUUUUCUAUUUAUCUUAAUCAAUUCUUAAUUAAAUAUUAAUGGUAGUAAUUAAGUAUUAACAUCAAACAAUAAUUAAGUGCCAAAGGUCAUUAAUGUUAAUGACCUUAGGUCAUCACACAAUCCCAAAAGCACUCAAAUUCUAAUUUGGAAAUCAAGCAACUCAUUAUUUAAGUAAAGGCUAGCUAAAAACAAACAACUUUAUUUGCACACAUAACCAGGACAGCAGCAUAUACACAACUUCAUUCAACCAUAAUUAGAGAUCCAAACAUCCAAUAAAGGUGAUAUUAGACUUUCUGGAAAUCUUAGAUAAUUUUCUACAACUUUGUUAUAGACAAGUUUCACAUCCAUCAUUAUCUACCUAGAGCAAUUCAUAAGGUUCCAGAAACUGUCCAGAAAUUACUAAUAAUUUAAUUAUAGACAAAUAACAUUUCAUUUAUGUUUCAAACUUGGACCUGGGCAAAACCCAGCUCACUAAUAGUUGAAAUACAUCAAAGAGAUACUAGAAAACAUCAUGGUCAUCCCUAAAUAAAUUCCUUUCAUGUUUUUAUUAAUUUAUUUAGGUAAAUAGACAAAGCAAUAACCAUAUAUCAAAAGUACACAGUAAAUUCUGAGAAAACUACAGCAGCUCAUAUAUGCUCUCCAAAGUCUACUGUAUAAGUUUCAUGCCAUUUGGAUAAGUAUAGCAAUUUUUAUGAAAAAGAUAAAUUUCCAUCACAAGGAAGCAUGUAAUGGCAAGAUAAAUAAGAAACUCAACAUUUUAUACAAACACAUAGCCAAAUUAUGUAUCUAUAUGUUAUAACAACCUCAUAUAAAGGCAAAGGAACUGUAUUUUACAUUUAUUCAUUUUUAGUUUAAUUGUGAACUAUUUAAUAAGCACUACACAAGAUAAAUCAAUAACUUAACCAUAUAUCAUCUACUGAACAUGAAAUUUUUACUGCAACACUCACAUAACAUCACGAGAACACCACAAAAAUUUCAGGGAAAUAGGAGCUUUACAGAAUGAGAUAUGAAUUUCUCCUUUUUAAACAUAAUUAAAAGGCAUAAAUCAUAACUAAUUAUUUUACUACAAAACAUGGUCAGUUUCAUAUUUUUAAUAAAAACUAGACAUCCUAAGGAGCACAACAAAAAUUGGUUCACCAAAAUUGGAGUUACCAAACUCCAGAUAUGAAUUUUCAAAGAUUCAACAAAACAUCUACAAACAAGUCCUUAUAGCACUAUUCACCUGAGUCACGAACUUCGCAGUUAGACCCUUGCCUUGUGUCGAAUUCCCAUGCGAAGUCCCUGGCGCGAAUUGAAAACAGAGGACGUCGGAGGAAACUCGAUUUCCGGCCUGUUGAUGUUCGUUGGAGACGAGGGGAAGAGUCGGGGAGCAUCAGGGGCUCAGCACGACUUCUUCAAGCUUCUCAGAAGUGGUGGAGAAGCACGGAGGAGGGCUGGCCACGUGAAGCGCCCACGGCAGCGCUUUCGGCCGGAGUUGAGGAAGAAAGACGGCUCCCGGGCGAUUGAGAGGGGCGGGGAGGCUUCCUGGGCGUACACUGGGUUCGCAAGGAUAUGGCGAAGGUGUUGGAGAACUCGAAUUGGUCGGAGGAGUUGCGUGUAGAGGGUAAUGGAUGGUGGAGCUUCUCUGAUGCUUUUGGUCGCCGGAGCGACUGAGCUCGAGGUCGGCCGCGCGGACGCUCAAGGGGGCGAGGCGCAGGGGUCGCGGGCGUCCACGUCGCACGGUGACGCGGCCGGCAAGCAGCUGCGUGGCGGCGAGGCGCGCACGUGGAGCUGCAC